AUAGUGAUGAUGGGGGUAUUCCCAAUAGACAUGUGUAUCCCUUGAAUUAUAGCCUGCAUGGCACAUUAAUUGUGUGUGUGUUUGUUUGUUCUUGGCUGAGUAAGUAGUAAGACGAUUAUGUCCUGUCAAACAACACAAACUGAUCAUACAGUAUGUAUGACAUAGGCCAGGGGUUCCUAAACUUUUAUGUUCUGAUAGCAAAUUCAUCAGGGACCCCCUCAAAAUCAGAACACAACUCAGACUUUAGAGUGAGGUAAAACAAAAACAAAAAUAGCAUACAAGAAGUUUCAUGACUGCUGCAGUGCAUGCAUGGCCAGACUAACCAAUACUUCAGCCAUGGAAAGUAAAAUGUAAACAACAAUUGGACGCAAUACAAUACGUUUUUAGUUGAAAACUGGAUCAUUGAUGGAGUACUGUGGAUCCCUGUGAGCCUCCCAGGCCUUGUUGUGCGUCUACGGGCAUAUUGUAGAUUAAUAAUAUUGUAUUGUAUUGUAUUGCACCAACUUCUUCCACAGACCCCUUGGCCAAAUUUGUGUACAUUUGUGUAAGGUGUUGGUGUGACAACUGUUCUACAUUUCUUAACGUUUAAACAACACAUUUUUUAAAAUAGUUGUUCCGUUAAAGGUCCGAUCAGUGAACAUCAUGUUUUCAUAACAUUUGAGGAUAUUUUGAUGAAACCAGUGAAAAAUUACUGUAGCUGGUACAUUAAAGUUGAUCAUGAAGUUACUGGUCCCCUCCCCCAUGUCAAACACUUGAAUUCAGGGAUAACUUCUGUCUUUAUUUAACUAGGCAAGUCAGUUAAGAACAUAUUCUUAUUCACAAUGACGGCCUACCGGGGAAUAGUGGCUUGUUCAGGAGCAGAACGACAGAUGUUUACCUUGUCAGCUCGGGGAUUCGAUCCAGCAAACUUUCGGUUACUGGCCCAACGCUUUAACCACUAUGCAAUAUCAAGUAGGGCCGUAAAUGUUAUACACCAAUGGUAGCGUCUUGUAAUCUUAACUCAUUUAAAUAUGUAACGCCUUAAAACCGUGAUCACCUGUGCGCAUCAUACGGCUUUGUUUACAAACCAUAAAUAGCUCAAGUAGAACGUGGCAGAACGAUACUGAUAACUAAACUUUUCAUCUGUGUUGUAACUUAUAGCUAGCAAGCUACUUACCAUCCUGUCGGAAAAAACACACUGUGUUGUAACUGGAUGCCAUAGGGAUAAUUUAACAUUACACUAUUUUCUGAAGAACGAAGACAUCCGAAAGCAGUGGCUGCUUUUCAUUUCUGGUGGACAGGAUCAUAACACCGAUGUGCAGUGCACAUUUCGAGCGAAGUUGAUUUAUUAAUUGGGGAGAACAUUUGAUGUGUCUUGCCAGGAAGCUAAUCCUGAAGAUGGAUGCUGAACCAUCAUUGACAGUGGAUCAGUUUGUCUUGCAAGCACUGACCAUAAUCCCCCUACAUUGAGUCUGAGGACUGACAGCACACAGCUGAUAUGAAGGAAUGUUGUCCACAAAAGGACUUCUGGCAACCACCGCAGCAGGAAUGCCAUGAUACAAAAUCAGCUUUCCUAAGGCAAAGGGGGAUAUGCUGUAAAGCCUGUGAAGACAGACCAAAUAAGGGGGGGAUAUGCUGUAAAGCCUGUGAAGACAGAUCAAAUAAGGGGGGAUAUGCUGUAAAGCCUGUGAAGACAGACCAAAUAAGGGGGGGAUAUGCUGUAAAGCCUGUGAAGACAGAUCAAAUAAGGGGGGAUAUGCUGUAAAGCCUGUGAAGACAGACCAAAUAAG
Long non-coding RNA from Salmo salar (Atlantic salmon), 1769 nucleotides. RefSeq lists it as uncharacterized. NCBI's taxonomy places the organism in Eukaryota, Metazoa, Chordata, Actinopteri, Salmoniformes, Salmonidae. The record is from RefSeq and is a predicted model, not a curated record.